AUUCCGGAGAGGGAGCCUGAGAAACGGCUACCACAUCCAAGGAAGGCAGCAGGCGCGCAAAUUACCCAAUCCCGAUACGGGGAGGUAGUGACAAUAAAUAACAAUACAGGGCUCUUAUGGGUCUUGUAAUUGGAAUGAGUACAAUUUAAAUCCCUUAACGAGGAACAAUUGGAGGGCAAGUCUGGUGCCAGCAGCCGCGGUAAUUCCAGCUCCAAUAGCGUAUAUUAAAGUUGUUGCAGUUAAAAAGCUCGUAGUUGAAUUUCGGGGUUCUACCGUUGGUCGGGCAAUAGUCUGUACUGGCGUGUGGAAUUUCUACCUUCUGGGGAACCAUCAUGUUAUUUAUUUAGCGUGGUGGGAAACCAGGACCUUUACCUUGAAAAAAUUAGAGUGUUCAAAGCAGGCUUACGUCUGAAUACAUUAGCAUGGAAUAAUAAAAUAGGACGGUGGUCCUGUUUUGUUGGUUUCUGAAUCACCGUAAUGAUUAAUAGGGAUAGUUGGGGGCAUUAGUAUUCAAUUGUCAGAGGUGAAAUUCUUGGAUUUAUUGAAGACUAACUUCUGCGAAAGCAUUUGCCAAGGAUGUUUUCAUUAAUCAAGAACGAAAGUUAGGGGAUCGAAGACGAUCAGAUACCGUCGUAGUCUUAACCAUAAACUAUGCCGACUAGGGAUCGGACG
This 672-nucleotide ribosomal RNA is filed under the name Gigaspora margarita. RNAcentral's name for it is "SSU rRNA". It matches the Rfam family "Eukaryotic small subunit ribosomal RNA", at positions 380 to 1059 of the family's 1831-position model. The record is from RNAcentral. Lineage: Eukaryota; Fungi; Glomeromycota; Glomeromycetes; Diversisporales; Gigasporaceae.